GACGAACGCUGGCGGCGUGCCUAAUACAUGCAAGUUGAGCGCUGAAGGUUGGUACUUGUACCAACUGGAUGAGCAGCGAACGGGUGAGUAACGCGUGGGGAAUCUGCCUUUGAGCGGGGGACAACAUUUGGAAACGAAUGCUAAUACCGCAUAAAAACUUUAAACACAAGUUUUAAGUUUGAAAGAUGCAAUUGCAUCACUCAAAGAUGAUCCCGCGUUGUAUUAGCUAGUUGGUGAGGUAAAGGCUCACCAAGGCGAUGAUACAUAGCCGACCUGAGAGGGUGAUCGGCCACAAUGGGACUGAGACAAGGCCCAAACUCCUACGGGAGGCAGCAGUAGGGAAUCUUCGGCAAUGGACGAAAGUCUGACCGAGCAACGCCGCGUGAGUGAAGAAGGUUUUCGGAUCGUAAAACUCUGUUGGUAGAGAAGAAAGUUGGUGAGAGUGGAAAGCUCAUCAAGUGACGGUAACUACACAGAAAGGGACGGCUAACUACGUG
RNAcentral lists this ribosomal RNA (497 nucleotides) under uncultured bacterium. RNAcentral's name for it is "partial 16S ribosomal RNA". It matches the Rfam family "Bacterial small subunit ribosomal RNA", at positions 28 to 507 of the family's 1533-position model. The record is from RNAcentral.